UGUUUCUCCCCAGAGGCCUCUCAAUCCUCCCUCCAUGAUCUUCGCAUAGAGCACAGUACCCCUUCACACGGAGGACGCGAUGGCUCCCAAGAAACGCCCAGAAACCCAGAAGACCUCCGAGAUUGUAUUACGCCCCAGGAACAAGAGGAGCAGGAGUCCCCUGGAGCUGGAGCCCGAGGCCAAGAAGCUCUGUGCGAAGGGCUCCGGUCCUAGCAGAAGAUGUGACUCAGACUGCCUCUGGGUGGGGCUGGCUGGCCCACAGAUCCUGCCACCAUGCCGCAGCAUCGUCAGGACCCUCCACCAGCAUAAGCUGGGCAGAGCUUCCUGGCCAUCUGUCCAGCAGGGGCUCCAGCAGUCCUUUUUGCACACUCUGGAUUCUUACCGGAUAUUACAAAAGGCUGCCCCCUUUGACAGGAGGGCUACAUCCUUGGCGUGGCACCCAACUCACCCCAGCACCGUGGCUGUGGGUUCCAAAGGGGGAGAUAUCAUGCUCUGGAAUUUUGGCAUCAAGGACAAACCCACCUUCAUCAAAGGGGUGAGCAGUUCCCCAUGCCAGGUCGUGCUAAAGAAGUGUUUGUUGGCUGGGUGCAGUGGUUCGCGCCUGUAACCCCAGCACUUUGGGAGGCCAAGGUGGGUGGAUCACCUGAGGUAUGGAGUUUAAGACCAGCCUGGCCAACAUGGUGAAACCCCGUCUCUACUAAAAAUACAAAAAUUAGCUGGGUGUGGUGGCAGGCGCCUAUAAUCCCAGCUACUCAGGAGGCUGAGACAGGAGAAUUGCUUGAACCCGGGAGGCAGAGGUUGCAGUGAGCCAAGAUUGCACCAUUACACAA
Molecule: small RNA, 830 nt
Filed under: Pan troglodytes (chimpanzee)
Lineage: Eukaryota; Metazoa; Chordata; Mammalia; Primates; Hominidae
Description: retained intron
Source: RNAcentral